Molecule: transfer RNA, 68 nt
Filed under: uncultured Butyricicoccus sp.
Lineage: Bacteria; Bacillati; Bacillota; Clostridia; Eubacteriales; Butyricicoccaceae
Rfam family: tRNA
About the family: Transfer RNA (tRNA) molecules are approximately 80 nucleotides in length. Their secondary structure includes four short double-helical elements and three loops (D, anti-codon, and T loops).
Source: RNAcentral
CGGAUGUAGUUUAGUGGUAGAACUUCAGCUUCCCAAGCUGGCCGUGCGGGUUCGAUUCCCGUCAUCCG